AUGGGGGGGAUGGCUCUCCUUGACAAAGAGGCUGAUGGCUUCGUUUUUGAAGACGCUGAUCACUGUCUCCCCAAGGCAUCUAAGUGGUCGGCUGUAGGGAAGGUAUGUUCUUCAAAACCUAUGAAGAAAUCUGUCCUGGAGAGAACCUUGCCACGGGCUUGGAGUUUGCAUAAAGAGGCGAAGUUUAGGGAUAUGGGAUCAAAUAUUUUUGUGGUUCACUUUGGUUGUGAGGGCGAUUGGAAGCAUGUGUUGCAGAAUGGGCCUUGGCAGUUUGAAUUCUCUGUGCUGAUCAUGAAAGACUAUGAAGGGGCUGUGAGGCCAUCGGAGAUGGUGUUUGAUAGGAUUGAUAUAUGGGUUCUAGUGGGCGAUUUACCAUCGGACAAAAGAACUGAUAAAUUCGGAAAGGCUCUUGGCAAUUGGUUGGGGUCUGCGGUGAGGGUGGACACGGACAAUGACGGCAUUGCUCAUGGCCAGCACCUUCGGAUUAGGACAACUAUCUCAGUGUUUGAACCCCUCAUACGUGGAUUCAACCUAAAGAAGGCAAAGGAAGAUAUGGAAGGGACAUGGUUUGAUUUUCAUUAUGAGAAAAUCCCUCAUUUUUGCUUUGAUUGUGGGAGACAUGUGCAUUUAGGUGGGAUCUGUAACCCCCCCGAGGAUGCAUCUGUUCACUAG
Molecule: ribosomal RNA, 672 nt
Filed under: Triticum aestivum (bread wheat)
Lineage: Eukaryota; Viridiplantae; Streptophyta; Magnoliopsida; Poales; Poaceae
Description: partial small subunit ribosomal RNA
Source: RNAcentral